This 851-nucleotide ribosomal RNA is filed under the name uncultured bacterium. RNAcentral describes it as "bacterial SSU rRNA". It matches the Rfam family "Bacterial small subunit ribosomal RNA", at positions 80 to 928 of the family's 1533-position model. The record is from RNAcentral.
UACCUCUGUCGGCGACCGGCGCACGGGUGAGUAACACGUAUGCAAUCCACCUGUAACAGGGGGAUAACCCGGAGAAAUCCGGACUAAUACCCCAUAAUAUGGGCUCUCCGCAUGGAGGGCUCAUUAAAGAAAGCAAUUUUGGUUACAGACGAGCAUGCGCUCCAUUAGCCAGUUGGCGGGGUAACGGCCCACCAAAGCGACGAUGGAUAGGGGUUCUGAGAGGAAGGUCCCCCACAUUGGAACUGAGACACGGUCCAAACUCCUACGGGAGGCAGCAGUGAGGAAUAUUGGUCAAUGGUCGGCAGACUGAACCAGCCAAGUCGCGUGAGGGAAGACGGCCCUACGGGUUGUAAACCUCUUUUGUCGGAGAGUAAAGUACGCUACGUGUAGCGUAUUGCAAGUAUCCGAAGAAAAAGCAUCGGCUAACUCCGUGCCAGCAGCCGCGGUAAUACGGAGGAUGCAAGCGUUAUCCGGAUUUAUUGGGUUUAAAGGGUGCGUAGGCGGCACGCCAAGUCAGCGGUGAAAUUUCCGGGCUCAACCCGGACUGUGCCGUUGAAACUGGCGAGCUAGAGUGCACAAGAGGCAGGCGGAAUGCGUGGUGUAGCGGUGAAAUGCAUAGAUAUCACGCAGAACCCCGAUUGCGAAGGCAGCCUGCUAGGGUGCGACAGACGCUGAGGCACGAAAGCGUGGGUAUCGAACAGGAUUAGAUACCCUGGUAGUCCACGCAGUAAACGAUGAAUACUAACUGUUUGCGAUACAAUGUAAGCGGUACAGCGAAAGCGUUAAGUAUUCCACCUGGGGAGUACGCCGGCAACGGUGAAACUCAAAGGAAUUGACGGGGGCCCGCACAA